RNAcentral lists this ribosomal RNA (1379 nucleotides) under uncultured prokaryote. RNAcentral describes it as "partial 16S ribosomal RNA". It matches the Rfam family "Bacterial small subunit ribosomal RNA", at positions 45 to 1401 of the family's 1533-position model. The record is from RNAcentral.
UGCCUAAUACAUGCAAGUCGAACGAAGUCGUAGGGUAACUUGCGACUUAGUGGCGGAAGGGUUAGUAAUACAUGAGUAACUUACCUCUUACCUGGGGAUAACGGUUGGAAACGGCCGCUAAUACCGAAUGAGGAGUUUGAGGGGAAACCAUCGAACAUUAAAGUAGGGGACCGUGAAAACGGCCUGGCGGUAGAUGAAGGGUCCAUGGGAUAUCAGCUUGUUGGUGAGGUAAAAGCUCACCAAGGCUAAGACGUCUAGGCGGACUGAGAGGUUGACCGCCAACACUGGGACUGAGACACUGCCCAGACUCCUACGGGAGGCUGCAGUCGAGAAUCAUUCGCAAUGGGCGAAAGCCUGACGAAGCGACGCCGUGUGAGCGAUGAAGGCCUUAGGGUUGUAAAGCUCUUUCGCCUGGGAAUAAGGGAUAUCGUUUAAUACACGGUAGACUUGAGGGUACCAGGUAAAGAAGCACCGGCUAACUCCGUGCCAGCAGCUGCGGUAAUACGGAAGGUGCAAGCGUUAACCGGAUUUACUGGGCGUAAAGAGCGCGUAGGCGGAAGUGCAAGUCAGGUGUGAAAUUCCGAAACUCAAUUUCGGAGCUGCAUUUGAAACUGCAAGUCUAGAGGAUUGACGGAGAAAGCGGAAUUCCAAGUGUAGCGGUGAAAUGCGUAGAUAUUUGGAAGAACACCUGUGGCGAAAGCGGCUUUCUAGUUUACUCCUGACGCUGAGGCACGAAAGCAAGGGGAGCGAACAGGAUUAGAUACCCUGGUAGUCCUUGCCGUAAACGAUGCAUACUUGAUGUAGACGGACUCAACCCCGACUGUGCCGUAGCUAACGUGUUAAGUAUACCGCCUGGGGAGUACGCUCGCAAGGGUAAAACUCAAAAGAAUUGACGGGGACCCGCACAAGCAGUGGAGCAUGUGGUUUAAUUCGAUGCAACGCGAAGAACCUUACCUACCCUCGAAAUGCAAAUGACGUUAACAGAAAUGUUAACUUUCGUAAGAGCAUGUACACAGGUGCUGCAUGGCUGUCGUCAGCUCGUGCCGUGAGGUGUUGGGUUAAGUCCCGCAACGAGCGCAACCCUUGUCAUUAGUUACCAGCAUUUAGGAUGGGGACUCUAAUGAGACUGCCUAGGUUAACUAGGAGGAAGGUGAGGAUGAUGUCAAGUCCGCAUGGCCUUUAUACCUGGGGCUACACACGUGCUACAAUGGUCAGUACAGAAGGCAGCAAAGCCGAAAGGUGGAGCAAAUCCCUAAAACUGAUCUCAGUUCGAAUUGAAGUCUGCAACUCGACUUCAUGAAGUUGGAAUUGCUAGUAAUGACGUGUCAGCAACAACGUCGUGAAUACGUUCCCGGGCCUUGCACACACCGCCCGUCACA